This 477-nucleotide ribosomal RNA is filed under the name uncultured Thermoflavimicrobium sp. Its description in RNAcentral is "bacterial SSU rRNA". It matches the Rfam family "Bacterial small subunit ribosomal RNA", at positions 8 to 507 of the family's 1533-position model. The record is from RNAcentral. Lineage: Bacteria; Bacillati; Bacillota; Bacilli; Caryophanales; Thermoactinomycetaceae.
AGAGUUUUGAUCCUGGCUCAGGAUGAACGGCUGGCGGCGUGCCUAAUACAUGCAAGUCGUGCGAGAUCUUCGGAUCUAGCGGCGAACGGGUGAGUAACACGUGGGCAACCUGCCCCUAAGACUGGGAUAACUCCGAGAAAUCGGAGCUAAUACCGGAUAACCUUUUUCCACGCAUGUGGAAAAAGUAAAAGGCUUUGUGCCACUUAGGGAUGGGCCCGCGGCGCAUUAGCUAGUUGGUGAGGUAACGGCUCACCAAGGCGACGAUGCGUAGCCGACCUGAGAGGGUGAUCGGCCACACUGGGACUGAGACACGGCCCAGACUCCUACGGGAGGCAGCAGUAGGGAAUUUUCCGCAAUGGGCGAAAGCCUGACGGAGCAACGCCGCGUGAGUGAAGACGGCCUUCGGGUUGUAAAACUCUGUUCUUGGGGAAGAAGAAAGUGACGGUACCCAAGGAGAAAGCCCCGGCUAACUACGUG